Molecule: non-coding RNA, 351 nt
Organism: Caenorhabditis elegans
Lineage: Eukaryota; Metazoa; Nematoda; Chromadorea; Rhabditida; Rhabditidae
Source: Ensembl
AUUCUUUUUUCCAACGAACGAAGACAGAUUUUCGAGACAGCUGCAGUUGGAAAGCAGCACGAUCGCGGCCUCAAUUCAUUCAAAAAAUGAGAGGAAAGGCAGUCAUUUGAUAGUGUGAAAUGAUGCGUUUCGACAAGAAGGCAGCACGCCGUGAGCGGCGUCCGGGGCAUGAUUUCCCCCUCCGGUAGAAAAAUGGUAGAAUAACUGGCAGACAUGGAGGUCGGCUAAUGAAUGUUCUCUUUUCGACAGCACUUCGUUACAAAAAAACGGGCACAAAUGACAAACGACCUUGUGUAGACAACGGGAGGCUGAUCGCGCACACGAAGGCAAUAUCAUCAUCAUUUUUAUAGC